GGAAAGUAAAAGUCGUAACAAGGUCUCCGUUGGUGAACCAGCGGAGGGAUCAUUAUCGAGUUUAUAACUCCCAAACCCUAUGUGAACUUACCACUUGUUGCUUCGGCGCGCGCUUCGGCGCCGCCGAGGACACUUAAACUCUUUGUUUUUAUAAGCAUUUCUGAGUGGCCGAAAGGCAAAAUACAAAUGAAUCAAAACUUUCAACAACGAAUCUCUUGGUUCUG
This 224-nucleotide unclassified non-coding RNA is filed under the name plant metagenome. RNAcentral describes it as "partial contains small subunit ribosomal RNA, internal transcribed spacer 1, and 5.8S ribosomal RNA". The stretch from base 1 to 55 matches the Rfam family "Eukaryotic small subunit ribosomal RNA", at positions 1777 to 1831 of the family's 1831-position model. The record is from RNAcentral.